CGUCAUAACCAUUACCUAUGCAUUUUUGCCAACAAUGAAUAAGAGCCUGCAUGCCAUGCUUGUAAGUAUCUGCAGCAGUGGAGGUGACCCACUGUCAUUGCUGACACUGCUGAAAUGCACCAUCCACCACCUCACAGGAUACACACCCACUGUUUGGUCCCCAUAUACAUUCAGGAAGUGUUGAUGAAUGUCAGUGGGUGCCAUUGCUUCUGCAUGGAGGAAUUCAAUGACACACUUUUGUUUCAUGAUGAAAGAUGCAACACGAACCAGCAAUGUGUGCUUGCAGAUCAGAAAGCCAACUGUAUCCUCGGUUGCAUCAAGAGAAGAGUGACCAGCAGGUUGAAGGAUGUGAUUCUGUCCCUCUACUCUGCUCCACCUGGAAUACUGCAUCCAGUUCUGGAGCCCCCAACACAAGGAGGACAUGGAGUUGUUGAAGCAAGUCCAGAGAGCUGGCUAGCGUGUAAAACACUCUACAACACUCUGCAAAGAGUGUAAAAUGCUGCAAAACAGCCUAAUCUCUACUGUAGCAUUCUGCUUUGAUAUUGAUGAUAACUUGAUGAAGUAACACAUGAAAAACUGUUCCAGAAAGUGCAAGAGAGGAAGAAAGAAGAAACAAAGACAACAUACUUCUUUUUCCCUCAAAAAUCAGGUAUGGAAGUAGGAAAAAAAGAAAACAUUACCUUCCCCACUGCCAGAACAAAGCAACAAACCAACACCAAAAUCCUAAAAAGUAGAAAGAUUGACCAAUAUUUUCAAAAGUGCCUGGUUGUUUCAGAUGUGCAGUUUGAGAAGUUUGGUUCUCAUCUGGGGACGAAUUCACUCUGGACCUCAGGUUAAGUUAUGAAGGAUCUGGCACCAACUGGGUAUCUUUGAGGCAACAUGAGCAACUGGAAGCACUUACUGCAUUCAAACUUGUCAGUUUUUCACCUGUGGUAUUUUCUGGUCAGGUCAAGAAGUGCUUUCAGUGGAACUACAACAUCUAGAACAAAAAUUUGACACAGGUUGCCCUCAAGGCACUCACUGAUCUGAAGGGGUAAAGCAUGAGCACUGUAACAAAGAAUCUGAAGAAAGACCCUAGAGAAGGUGAAGAUGGGACUAGAGAAGAAGAGGCUCCAUUGUACUCAACAGCUGCAUAAAAAGUUUUCUAUCAAUAGCCCUAACAGGGAAAGUGAGCUAUCAGGUGCACAGGUCUAGAGAAGCUAAGGAAUUUAUGGUAGAUAUAUCUAGAUUUCCAUAAUUAGGCUCUCAUUAAGUACCUAUAUCUUAAUCAGAUAUAAAACCCAGUAUAUCCAUGACUUUAUCCAGUCCCUUGAGCACAGAUGGACAGUAGAACUGACCUCCUAGUUUUGUAAAAUGACAAAAGUAUCAAAAUGCAUUAAAUUCUUAUUACUUCAUCAGGCCACACCAACCAUACUCUUCUCAAAAUAACAUUAAAUCCUACUUAUGGUUACCCAGUAGGUCUGCGUGCAAUUGCCUUGCUCAUUUGGAUGUAUCAGCUUCUUUCUAACAGCAGCUUGUUGAUCUUUAGGAAAUUUUAGCUGCAAGUAUGCAAAUCUGCUAUACUGAUCUAAAUAUUUCCUCUUCUUUUCACCUAAUAAAAUAGAAACACAUAUUCAGAAUUCCU
Long non-coding RNA from Gallus gallus (chicken), 1624 nucleotides. The record is from Ensembl. NCBI's taxonomy places the organism in Eukaryota, Metazoa, Chordata, Aves, Galliformes, Phasianidae.